Molecule: long non-coding RNA, 529 nt
Filed under: Hordeum vulgare
Lineage: Eukaryota; Viridiplantae; Streptophyta; Magnoliopsida; Poales; Poaceae
Description: long non-coding RNA (HVUL_LNC000429)
Source: RNAcentral
ACGAGAGGACAGAGACGCAGCGAUGAGCGACCCACGCACCCAUCAGCUUCACUUGCCCCUUUUAGUUGGAAGGUAGCACCAUUAAGUUCUCCGUGCCUUUUUAUGGAUAAUAGAUGGCUGUUACCGGUUCCUCUUGGGGAAGUUCUCCGUCAGCUGUCAGACUGCUCUUUCAUCUACAUCACUGUUAUAGAAUUAUUAGUAACACUUUCUGACGGAUCUUCUGAUUAAUAGCAGGACCCCGUUCGAGUAAAGUCUGAACCUACCAAGCUCUACCGAUUGAAUGAUUGUACAACAAAAGGAUUAAAAGAAAAAUAUCAGCUCAGCUCCCAGUAGAAAUACCUCGCUGUCCGCUCACUAGCUUUGCCAGUAACCUGACCUUUGCUUGCAGCUGGCGAAGUUGGCAUUGGAUGUCCCCAGCCAGGCAGCAGGUACCCCCAUUGAUCAUACUCGCCUACCACUCCAAUUCAUUUGCUACCAAUGGUACAAUUAUUACGUUUGUUUAUGAAAUGGUAUUGUUUCUGGUAUGACG